ACGAACGCUGGCGGCGUGCUUAACACAUGCCAGUCGGACGGAAAGGCCCUGCUUUUGUGGGGUGCUCGAGUGGCGAACGGGUGAGUAACACGUGAGUAACCUGCCCUUGACUUUGGGAUAACUUCAGGAAACUGGGGCUAAUACCGGAUAGGAGCUCCUGCUGCAUGGUGGGGGUUGGAAAGUUUCGGCGGUUGGGGAUGGACUCGCGGCUUAUCAGCUUGUUGGUGGGGUAGUGGCUUACCAAGGCUUUGACGGGUAGCCGGCCUGAGAGGGUGACCGGCCACAUUGGGACUGAGAUACGGCCCAGACUCCUACGGGAGGCAGCAGUGGGGAAUAUUGCACAAUGGGCGGAAGCCUGAUGCAGCAACGCCGCGUGCGGGAUGACGGCCUUCGGGUUGUAAACCGCUUUCGCCUGUGACGAAGCGUGAGUGACGGUAAUGGGUAAAGAAGCACCGGCUAACUACGUG
RNAcentral lists this ribosomal RNA (467 nucleotides) under uncultured bacterium. RNAcentral describes it as "partial 16S ribosomal RNA". It matches the Rfam family "Bacterial small subunit ribosomal RNA", at positions 29 to 507 of the family's 1533-position model. The record is from RNAcentral.